This 419-nucleotide ribosomal RNA is filed under the name uncultured bacterium. Its description in RNAcentral is "bacterial SSU rRNA". It matches the Rfam family "Bacterial small subunit ribosomal RNA", at positions 357 to 774 of the family's 1533-position model. The record is from RNAcentral.
AGGAAUAUUGGUCAAUGGACGCAAGUCUGAACCAGCCAUGCCGCGUGAAGGAUGAAGGUCCUCUGGAUUGUAAACUUCUUUUAUCUGGGACGAAAACGGGAUUUUUAUCUCAAUUGACGGUACCAGAGGAAUAAGCACCGGCUAACUCCGUGCCAGCAGCCGCGGUAAUACGGAGGGUGCGAGCGUUAUCCGGAUUUACUGGGUUUAAAGGGUGCGUAGGUGGGCUUAUAAGUCAGUGGUGAAAUCUCCGAGCUUAACUUGGAAACUGCCGUUGAUACUAUAGGUCUUGAAUUAUCUGGAGGUAAGCGGAAUAUGUCAUGUAGCGGUGAAAUGCUUAGAUAUGACAUAGAACACCAAUUGCGAAGGCAGCUUACUACAUAUAAAUUGACGCUGAGGCACGAAAGCGUGGGGAUCAAACA